GAUGAACGCUGGCGGCGUGCCUAAUACAUGCAAGUCGAGCGAACAGACGAGGAGCUUGCUCCUCUGACGUUAGCGGCGGACGGGUGAGUAACACGUGGAUAACCUACCUAUAAGACUGGGAUAACUUCGGGAAACCGGAGCUAAUACCGGAUAAUAUAUUGAACCGCAUGGUUCAAUAGUGAAAGACGGUUUUGCUGUCACUUAUAGAUGGAUCCGCGCCGCAUUAGCUAGUUGGUAAGGUAACGGCUUACCAAGGCAACGAUGCGUAGCCGACCUGAGAGGGGGAUGGGCAAAACUGAAACUGAGACACGGUCCAGAUCCUUAGGGGAGGCAGAGGAAGGGAAUCUCCGGCAAGGGGCGAAGCCUGAAGGAGGAAACGCGGGGGAAGGGAGAAGGGUUUGCGAAUGGAAAACCUCUGUAAUAGGGGAAAAAAAAAGGUGAAAGUAACAAUGAAGGUUUGAAGGGAACCAAACCAGAAGGCAACGCUAAACUAGGG
This 496-nucleotide ribosomal RNA is filed under the name uncultured bacterium. Its description in RNAcentral is "partial 16S ribosomal RNA". It matches the Rfam family "Bacterial small subunit ribosomal RNA", at positions 28 to 507 of the family's 1533-position model. The record is from RNAcentral.